AGAGUUUGAUCCUGGCUCAGAGCGAACGCUGGCGGCAGGCUUAACACAUGCAAGUCGAGCGGGCAUCGCAAGAUGUCAGCGGCAGACGGGUGAGUAACGCGUGGGAACAUACCCUCCGGUUCGGAAUAGCUCAGGGAAACUUGGAUUAAUACCGGAUACGGCAAUCAGGAGAGAUCUUGGAGGCGAAAGAUUGAUCGCCG
RNAcentral lists this ribosomal RNA (200 nucleotides) under uncultured bacterium. RNAcentral describes it as "partial 16S ribosomal RNA". It matches the Rfam family "Bacterial small subunit ribosomal RNA", at positions 8 to 220 of the family's 1533-position model. The record is from RNAcentral.